This 859-nucleotide small RNA is filed under the name uncultured Acidimicrobium sp. RNAcentral describes it as "bacterial SSU rRNA". The stretch from base 1 to 472 matches the Rfam family "Bacterial small subunit ribosomal RNA", at positions 1064 to 1533 of the family's 1533-position model. Lineage: Bacteria; Bacillati; Actinomycetota; Acidimicrobiia; Acidimicrobiales; Acidimicrobiaceae. The record is from RNAcentral.
GUCGUGAGAUGUUGGGUUAAGUCCCGCAACGAGCGCAACCCUUAUCCUAUGUUGCCAGCACGUAAUGGUGGGGACUCGUAGGAGACUGCCGGGGUCAACUCGGAGGAAGGUGGGGAUGAGGUCAAGUCAUCAUGCCCCUUAUGUCCAGGGCUGCAAACAUGCUACAAUGGCCGGUACAAAGGGCUGCUAUACCGCGAGGUUGAGCGAAUCCCAAAAAGCCGGUCUCAGUUCGGAUUGGAGUCUGCAACUCGACUCCAUGAAGCCGGAGUCGCUAGUAAUCCCGGAUCAGCAACGCCGGGGUGAAUACGUUCCCGGGCCUUGUACACACCGCCCGUCACACCACGAAAGUUGGUAACACCCGAAGCCAGUGGCCCAACCCUUUGGGAGGGAGCUGUCGAGGGUGGGAUCAGCGAUUGGGGUGAAGUCGUAACAAGGUAGCCGUACCGGAAGGUGCGGCUGGAUCACCUCCUUUCUAAGGAGUCAUUGUCACUGCACAACGCAGCGACGACUUCCAGUUGAGGCACUAGCUAUUCGUCCGUCGUCUCGGUUCGUUGAUCGUAGGUAACCCUCUCAACGUCUCGGCACGCCGGCCGUCGUCCUCUGUUCCGCUUUGAAGGAGCGCCCCGAAGCCCCCGCCUUGUAGCGGGGGCUUCGUCAUGCACUCGUUCGCGUCGAUCUGGUCCGCCCAGCUCUCGACGCACGACGCCCCUUGAAAACUGCAUAGCGAGCACGAGCAUCUUUGUUCUUCCAAGCUACAAAGAGCCAACGGUGGAUGCCUUGGCGUCUACUACCGAUGAAGGACGUGGGCGACUGCGAUAAGCCACGGGGAGGUGUCUACCAACCUUUGAUCCGUGGAUGU